Aeromicrobium sp. Root472D3 is the source of this 73-nucleotide regulatory RNA element. It matches the Rfam family "Actino-pnp RNA". The record is from Rfam. Lineage: Bacteria; Bacillati; Actinomycetota; Actinomycetes; Propionibacteriales; Nocardioidaceae.
CUCGGUCCUCGGUAGUGGCCGUCGGGACGCUCGCAGCACGUGGGCUCCCCGCAGGCCUCGAUCGAAGACCGGC